CUCGGGAGAGGGCAGAGGUCGGUUCGUUUCGGGAGAGCGCAGUCUGCGGCGCACCGGAAAGAAGGGAGUGGGGGGUACCGCGUCGGGAUCAAGCAGGAGCGCUGUGGAGGUGAGGUAGCGAUUGGAGGGGGAGGGGGAGGGGACGAUAUGAAGAGGCCGCGGGAGGAGCGGACACCAGGCGCGCCUGGAGUGGCGGCCACCGGAGAGGAUCCUGGAGUGGNNNNNNUCCGGAUACCAUUCCCGUUUAACUCGACGUUCACCGGUAAUAGUCUUACCCACUUUCAUUGCUCUUAUAGGUCAAAAGGACCCCUUUCUUCUCUCGUUUUCCACCACGGUUCUACCUAUGUGUCAAGAUACCAAGGAAGUGUAAACUGUUACACUUCAUGAGUGACAUACUGACACACAUAGAAAAAUUUUUACCACUUAGACUUGGUAUGUAACCUUUCUAUCAUUUCUAUACCGUCGUUUUACUUCGAUUCUUUCAUUUCUAAGAAACCAAAAAGUGGGGCCUACUCUAGUCUUUAAUAAAUUCUCCGAGGCACCGCCUCUUACUCUAUAAAGAACGAAGACCACUACCGUGACCGGAACGGCUAUAGUUGGGUGACCUUAGAUAACGACCAUUUACGUGACAACAAACGUAAAGUUUCCUACUUUCCUUAGCGGUCGGAUGGGGUUUCCUUGUUUGCCAGCGACUAAUAUAGAAGAUAUCCAAAAAACUACAACCUUUGACGUGUGAAAGACUCGUUCAUGGACUCUUUUAACGUCCCGACCUUCAGUUGCACGACGAAUUAGGAUUUCUACUCGUUCAAUAUACAAUGGGCCUAGUCCUACGCGUUCCGUACCUAGUCUUCCACCCACGUCCAGACCAGCGUGGGGAAGGCGUUAGUCGCCGAUUCUACCUCCUACUUUAAGGACAACGUGGGGAAGGCGUUAGUCGACGAUUCUACCUCCUACUUUAAGGACAACGACGUCAAGGGGAAAGGGUCAGUCACCGGUAAAGAGAAGGGGGUAGUCAGUUUCUCCACCUAUUUCGAGUCCAACGACGACAAGGAGAAGGGGAUCGUCAACUCCUCCUACAAGGGUUUGGGUGUGUUUUUCAAAAGUUUGCAUGUGUCUCAUGUGUCUUUCAAGAGAGACUAUUCUACGGAAGUUUCUUUAACUUUAAUAGAGUUCUAGAAUGUUGCUUCUUAUACGGAAGUUUCUUCAACUUUGAUAGAGUUCUAGAAUGUUGCGUUUCAUACCGGGGUCAAGGACUGCACUUUCAAGCGAGACAAGGAAACCGCGUUGAUGGUUGUUCCGUCCGACUGUCUUCGUUUACCAAGUUUGGUGUCGGGACCGUACUUUUUGAUCGUGUUCGACUAUUCCUCCCCUCCGACCACAUAUAAGUCUUAGAACUGUAUGCCAAACCUCGAAGACUUUAUCACCUUGAAUAAGCACUCCGUGAUGUUGAUAGAACAUGACGAUUCGGAUAAUUGGUGGGCUGGAUGCUACUAGGAUUGUUACCUUUUCGUAUACAACAUAAGUUAAGGUCUUUAUAACGACUACUUCGACAAUACUUUUAGUUAAGUCCGAACCAACACCCACCUUCUGGGGAAAUGACGUCGUUUCCCAAUGAAUUCCAGGGUUUUGGUCGAAGUCCUCGAGACCAACCCGUGAAUUGGUAGUCAUUAGUCUUUUACUUGGGUUCUGUUGCUCUUCUCGUCUUCUUCCGACACAGCUGUAGUGUAACAAGAGUUGGGUUGUGUUAUCUUAUACUGGACCGGAACCUGACCUACGAACAGGCUCUUUUCGUUCGUUACUUCAAGUCAUAUGAAGUAUUCUCCGUGCGCCCACUCUCCUUCAGCAAACGAGAUUCUACCGCGUCAUUCAUCGAAGAAACCUCAGCGAAUCGGUUUUACCUUACCCUUGGCCGGUCUACCUCAACAGUUGAUAGUAGGGAACCUCGAACCACACAACAAGUGGGCUUCGUUGUGAAGUUCAAAAACAGUGACCGUUGGAAAUAUACACGACUACCAAAUACAAACCGAAGCUGACUAACUUAAGACUCCGCCCUGAUUGACGUUGCAUCCUACAAGAAAGAAAUUCCUCCCUCUACAUAUCCCCACCCUUAAUACUCCUUGUAAUCGAAGUCCUUAGUCUCAUCACCCUUUAAAGAGUACUGUGCAGAAGUCCUCAGUCUCAUCACGGCAUCUUCGUUCAUCGGGAAACGUCGUUCGGCCUCCGCCAAAAUCGAAUUGUCAUUCGGUCGGUCGCAUCAUUGCCACGGGUAGACGACGACGCACAAAAACCUGUCGUUUAAUACUUGAUGUCAUACAUCAUACAAGGCUUUCAAGUCCCGAACCGAUAGAAAAGACGAUUUACAUGGCGUAAGAACUUACCGGGGUGAACUCAGACGAUGGUCAACACAAGCUACUACUAAGUAGACACAAU
Molecule: ribosomal RNA, 2430 nt
Filed under: Triticum aestivum (bread wheat)
Lineage: Eukaryota; Viridiplantae; Streptophyta; Magnoliopsida; Poales; Poaceae
Description: partial small subunit ribosomal RNA
Source: RNAcentral